This 251-nucleotide ribosomal RNA is filed under the name uncultured prokaryote. Its description in RNAcentral is "partial 16S rRNA". It matches the Rfam family "Bacterial small subunit ribosomal RNA", at positions 525 to 775 of the family's 1533-position model. The record is from RNAcentral.
ACGUAGGGUGCGAGCGUUAAUCGGAAUUACUGGGCGUAAAGCGUGCGCAGGCGGUUUUUUAAGAUAGGCGGGAAAUCCCCGGGCUUAACCUGGGAACUGCGCUUAUGACUGGAAGACUAGAGUACGGCAGAGGGGGGUGGAAUUCCACGUGUAGCAGUGAAAUGCGUAGAGAUGUGGAGGAACACCAAUGGCGAAGGCAGCCCCCUGGGCCGAUACUGACGCUCAUGCACGAAAGCGUGGGGAGCAAACAG